RNAcentral lists this long non-coding RNA (28641 nucleotides) under Solanum tuberosum (potato). Its description in RNAcentral is "long non-coding RNA (STUB_LNC004800)". The stretch from base 11347 to 11540 matches the Rfam family "U2 spliceosomal RNA". Lineage: Eukaryota; Viridiplantae; Streptophyta; Magnoliopsida; Solanales; Solanaceae. The record is from RNAcentral.
GUUAAAGAAUCUAACCAGAAAAAACUUGAAUUUAAAUACGAAAGUUUCCUUAUUAGACGGAUUACAAGUGAACAACUUUGUGAUGGAAGCAAGAAAAGAAAGAAACAACUUCACUAACCACUUCAGCUAAAGAAUAAUCAAAAUGUUACAAUUUGAGCACGUCAUUUUAUAUACCUUCCUGAGGAACCUGAGAGAAUAAGUUCCAACGCUUUUCAAUCGGUCUAUAAAGACCAAAAUACUAGGGUAUACUUCAUCUUAAACUUAUGAGGUUCUUGAAAUACAUGUUGCACUCCCAGAGUAAGUCACAUGAUAUUAGGGUGCUCUUGCAUCCAGUGUUGCAUUUCACACCUAUAACAUUGUUUGACACAUGAACUUACAUGAACAGACUUAUUAUCAGCCAAACACUACCAACAGCAUCCACGAACAACCUUGCAAAAAAAGGAAACUGUUAAAAAGAGUAUCAGCUUGCAAUGGGUAAUCAAUCAAGGAGUAUCAACCGUUUGAGGAUAUAUAUAUAUAUAUUGUGUCAUCUACUAUAUCGAGAUAGAAGCACACUGCUGAUUCUUGAAUAGACACGUCGAUGUGUUACAUGGUUCACAUAUGAUUCUUGAUUAGACAAUACACAUAUGCAUACGCUGCCAGGCUUAAAACAAAUCUCUAGUUGAACGUUGAAUUGGAAACCAUCUAUAUAUACCAAUAAGCUAUGUUGCUCGGACUCUUCAACAAUGUACGCGGAUACAUGUCGGAUUCUCCAAAAGUAGUGUAUUUUUGGAUAAUCCAACACAUGUACGACAUCGAAAGUGGAGUAUGUGCAACUUAGCCAAUAAGGGGAUAUUAUUUCUAGUGUUAAGAGAAUCAUAAAUAAAUCGCAAAGGCUGUAAGACUGCAGUGACUUAACUCAUCAUAAACAAUGGCCAAAACGUUUCAAUUAUUUAGUUAAUUAGCCGAAACGUUCUAUCCCAACUCGGAUCCGUGCAACCCAUUUUAUUUAAAAUACUUUACCAUUUUAUUUGAAUUUCCCACCAUUGGAGAUGACUAUUCUGAAAGGUUGCAACUUUCAAGAAGAAUCAUGACCGUUUGAAAGGUUGCGAACUUUCUGGAAUGGUCGUGUGGUUUCUGAAAGGUUGCAACCUUUCUGAACCAGUUCCUCUUGGCUGUAAAUACCAGUGAUUCUUCGGACUUUUUACUUAUGAAAUUUUUUUAUUUCUUUUUCUUCUUCUGCACAAAUUUCAUUCGUCUACUUUGCUGCCGUUAAGUGGCUCGCUGACACCAGAGUUUUAUGUAUCAAUACGCUGGUGAUUGAGAUCAUUCUAUCCUAGGAGGACAUAUUCCAAAUCAAACCUCGGAUACUAGAGGGGAAUAAUUUCCUUAAUAGGACACUAUGCAUUCAGUGGGCUUGAUCUUUUUUCCUUAUGUUUAUUAUAGAUUUUGGUAUGUUUUACAGAUUUUAGUUUUUGUUAAUUAAUUUAUGUUCUUCGCUGUGUGAUUUAAACUUUGGUAACUUAGUGUUUCUGCAAAGUUUUUGUUAUCACUAGUAUUGUUUAGAAUACAGAUUGUGUAACAGAAAGUGCAUCAAGAAAAUUGGAUUGUUGGAGGAAAAAUGCUUUAAUAAUUGAAUAUUGAUGAGAAAGUGCAUUAACAAAACUGGAAUGUUGGAGAGAAAGUGCUCCAACAAUUAAAGAUUGAAGAGAAAAUGCAAGUGCAUAACAAUUGAAAUGUUGGAGAGAAAGGUGCUCCAACAAUUGAAGGUCGAAGAGAAAGCGCUUCAAAAAAUUGGAAGUUGGCGGCAAAUGCAUCAACAAAGUGGAAGUUUCUAACAUGUGCAUCAAUGAGAGUUGAAGGAAAAUUUCAACAAAUUAAUAAUUGGUGACAAGUUCUUCAACGAGAGUUGAAGAGAAAUUGCUUCAACAAAUUGAUAGAUUGGGUUCAAUAUAGGUACCUAGGACCGUGCAUGAGAGUUUUGAAUAUACUCUCGAUCAUUAAAUAAUGAUAUCAUAACAUAGUCUAAGGGACACUUUAUCUAAAAGAAUCUAAAUCAUGAUAAUCAUACAUAUUAAAUGAUAAUUUAUCUGAAAACAUCCUUAUUCAUAAAAAUCUGAUAAUUUGAAGCAUGCAUGUGAAAAUAGCAUAAUUAUGAUCAAGAAAAUACUUUCAUGUUAUGAGUUCAUGAUAAUAUCACUGAAAAAUUGAAUUAGAAUAUAUUCAUUCAUAAUAUGAUCAAUCAUGAAAAAAAUUAUAAUUCAACAAGAAUCCAUGAGAAAUCAUGAAAACCUAGAAUUUGGGUAAUCCAUAUAUUAAGAAAAUGAGGCUUUUUUAGGGACUCAAUGAGUGAAGAAGAACCUAUUGUUGAAGUUUCUACAUACCUUGAUUGAAAUCCUAACUUGAAUUUGGAAGAGGAGACUUGAAACUUAAAUCCCUGUUCUUGCCUUGAGAGAGAAGAAAUUGAUUUUCAGAGAAUGAGAGGAAAUGAGGGGAAAUGAGGAAGUUAUGGUAAUUAGGAAUCAUAUAUACCAACUUAAAAUAGGCCAAAAUGAUGUAGUAUAGAAAUUAAGAAAGUGGUAAAAGACUAUAAUAACCCUGACUAAAGUCUAUUGAUAGCCAUUCACAGACACCUUUUACAGUCAGUAAAACUGUUCGCGGACCAUGAAAGGUCUCGUAGAAGGCAAAAAGGAAAACUGGGCUACUGAAGUUUGGAUCUACGGACCCUUCCACAGUAUGUAAAAGACAACAAGGCCCGUUCAUAUGUCUGUAGAAGCUGAGAUCCCUUAUUACUGAAGUUCCAAUGUACAAACCAUUCUACGGUUUGUAAUACUUUCCACGACCCAUCUCGGCCUUCCAUGAAAGGUAAGGGAUGCCGAACAUUUUUGAAGUUCAGAGCUUUGGUCUAUGAAUUCAUGCAUGAUUUAGAACCAUCCAUGAGCCUUAAAAACUUUUCGUACUAUCAACCCAUUUUUCAACUUUAUGAAGAUGACCUAUGGAUUGGUCUACGAUCCGUCAAGCCUGUCGUAACCCUGAUACUGAAAAUUCAAACUUCUGAAGUUCUCUUCACGGGUGGCAUCUACGGACCAUGCAAACUUAUACAGUCCGUAAACACUUUCUAUGAAACUCAAAAAUUGCAAACUUCAACAGUUCUUCUACACUUUACAACUUUUAUCUAAGUUAGGUACUUCAUAGGUGUUAAACAAAUUGAGAACAUGAAGUAAAUACAUGAGGCUUUGGCUACUUCUAUUGAUGCAUCAGUGACAUUGAUGACUGAUGAAGAUGAAUUGAAACAAAAACAAGAAGAAACAAUUCUCCAAAAAUAUGUCUCUUAUUCUUCGCUUCAAAAAUCUUUACUUCAACAUAAGCCUCUUUUAGUAUUUCUAAUAUUCAAAAUAUCCCUCCCUCUUCUAUAAUUUGAAUCACAACCUUUUUUUUUCAUUAGAGCAAAUGGUUUCUUGCAACAGAUAUAGUUGUAUAAUUUAAUUACUUGUUUAUGUGCUUACAAUAAAUUUUGAUGUAUAAAAAAUAAAUCAACCACUAACAAAAUUUGAAGAAGUAAGAAUAUUUUAUCAAUAAACGUUUGGGUAAGGUUCUGUAUAUCCCUUGAUUCUUCUCUCUAAUUUUUCUUUAUAACUAGAUGGCUGGCAGUAGCGUAUUUCUUGAAUAUAGGAUGAUUUGGACCUUCUUAGGAUGUAUUUGAUUGCUGAAUGUCACAUCUUUGACAAAGACAAUAUUUGAUGACUCGAUCUAUUUAUGAACAUACCAAGAAUUUAUUGCAUUUUUAGAUGUCUGUUAAAGGAAAUAUAUUAUCGUUUAAAUAGACAUGACCUAGAAUUUAGGGUAGAGUAGCUUUCAAGAACCCCAACUAAAAUUGAACUCGUUUUGUAGAGUCCCACAAAUUUUGUAUGUCUACUCCCCUAUAUCCAAGGCUUGUUGGAGUGUAGACUCAAUGAAACUUAAAAAGGAGACUUGAAGUACUCAUAAAAAUAAAGGUUCCAUCUUUGCAAUUUUGUGGCUUCUGAUUUACAAAGCUGAUUUGUUAGAGAAGAGAUGAAGGACAAACUUCAUCCCAUCGAAUGUUCCAAUUUGUUUCAAAUAAAAUUUUAAUAUGAAAAAUAACCAAACAACAACAAAUAAAAUCUGAAGAAGCAAGAAUAUUUAAUUAAUAAACAAUCUAGGUAUUUUGUAACGAUCCAAUUAGAGAUCGUGACCCAGUGAUGCUAAGGGAAUCAAAUUUCAAAGUAAGUAUUAGUAGAAACUUAAAGAAAAUCGAGGAAAUUUUUCCUAGUUUCUGGGCAUAUACAAAAAAUUCCUAUCUCAAAAAUCAACAAAACAACUAACCAACAUAUUCAAACAAGACACAUAUUAAUCAGCAAUCUAUACACAAGGUAAUAGUACUAAAUUCAUCUCCAAAUACGAAAAAAGUCUGAUUCUAGCCAUACAUCUAUAAUAACAAAAGAAUAUUCAUGAAUCAAAUAAAGAAAAUGACUAUGGAGUGAAUCAUAGAGUUCAAAGAAAGUUUGAAAAAAAAUAAGCUUGAUGCCCACACGAACAAGUGUGGGGCUCAUCAAGAAUUUCCAACUUGUAAGUUCUAAUUAAUAAAAUAUUUACCAACAUCACUUGUCUUUUUAUGUAAAAUAUAUUGGGGAGUGAAACACUAGUUCAAUGAGUAAUAAUGAUUAACCUCAACCAUUAUUAAUGUGAUAAGUCAGUAAACAUACUAUUAAGAUAAUAAAAAAAUAUCUUGAAAUAAUGCUCCCUUCAAGAAAUGGUAACAAUAACUAGUACAUUUGUUUCAUGUAAAAAAGUCAAGUAACAUUUUAGUAAUAAACUUUGUAACACCCCUGUUAUUUAAAAGAGCUAAAAUUAGAAAGAACCAUUUUUCGGAAAAGAGUAAAAAUCUGAAAUUUGGCAAGUUAUGUUAAAUAUAAGUUUUGGAUCAACUUCAAACAACCAUAACUCCUAGCACAUGAUGAGUUAGGUGGGCAACAAUAUACCGUAUGAAAGGUCUUUGAAUUAUCUUUCCAACGCCACUGAUUUUUCUCAUUUUCAAGUUCGUAUAUGGGAGAUAUGUCCGUUUGAAGUCGGGCUGUCUGGAUAAGGAAAGUCAAAACUGGAUUUUAGAAGGGUAUUUUGGUCUUUUCAUUACCCAAUUAGCUUAAUUCGAUUUUGGUCAUUACUUAGGGGUCUAAACUGAAUUUGUUCAGUUUACGCACUCAAAUUAUACGCUAGGGUUUUAGAGAAAAGAACUCAACAAGAGAAAAGAAGAGAAAGGUCAAGAUUCGUCGAUUUCUUGAGGAACUGAUUGCGGAUUUCUCCAAGGAUUCAAUCCUACGAGGUAUGUGAGUUAACAUAGCAUUGGGUUCGCUCACCCACGCGGCAAACAUGUUUAUUUCAGCGUGAAUUCGUCCUAAAAAGAUUGAAAGUUUGAUGUUCUUGAUGUGUGUUCUUGAAUUUGCUUUCGUUCUUGAAUUGGGCUGAGAUUGAGGAGUUUUGAGAUAAUCGUGUCAAUUUUUAAAGUUGCUUUGAGUUAGAUUCUUGUGUACAUGUAUUGGGUAUAUGAAUCUAAAGGGAAAUUGAGAAAAAGAAUUGAAUUAAAUCGAAUUAAGGUCAGAAAAUGAGUUGAAAAGUUCGUCGGGUUAGCCAGGGGCAAAUCUGGCAUGACGCGCCAGAACUGGGUCUCCAAACUUAGGGGAUGGCUCCCCACACCAGCAGUGCGCCAGGGUCGCCUGGCCCAACCCGUUCUUCAUCGUUUAGCCCGUCUGAGUCCUUCUAAAGUGUACUAACAAUUCCUAUCGAUUCUAACUACUCUAAGUGACUUCUAAACAUUUAGAAAUCAUCGGUAAACACGAAUCAUAACCUUGAAUCCAUAAAUUCAAAUUCAAGAAAAGUUAAGAGCCAAGUCUAGAGAGUUCUUAGAGUCUUUUCAAAAGUCUUUUGCAAACGUUUUAAACUUGUAUUAAAGACUUGAGUAUUGAGUUGAGUAAGAGUAAGAAUGGAGUUCAUUUCUUCAAAAGAUUAUAUGGGAACUAAGUAUUCCCAAGAGUAAAAUGUUUUCACAUUCAAACAAGAGAGGAAACACCGAUUUCCAAGAGAGCUUUUGAGCUAGUUUUUGAGUAAUAAUCUCAAACCACAGAGAAAGAGUAAUGUUUUUAAACAUAUGAGCUAAGUACAUUUUAGGAGUAGUAUUGAGCACCGAUAUGGGGACGAGUUCAUAAUAACUCAAGUCUCCAUAAACCUUGUAGCCAUCGUGGGUAGAAAGGUUCAUACUUUUUAAAUGAUUCAUUAAUGCUUUUUUGCAUAGACUAGUGGAUCCACUUUGUAACGACCCUAAAAACGAACUAGUGAAACUAGAGCCUAAUGACUUUGUGUUGGGUUUGUAAUGACGUUUCAUGUUGUGUAAUGUUGCCCCGAACCUUGUUUGAUGGAGUUUAGUGAGUCAACGGCAAGGUACGUGAUAGACUCCGUAGUGGAAAGACCCUUUUUAAUGUUGGUUAAGGGUUGGAAAGGAAAGUACCAAACCAAGGGGGCAAGGCCUAAUCCAAAGGCCAAGGCUACCCAACCUUGGCCAAGCACUGUCCCAAGUCCACAGACCACUUCACGGUCAGUGUCCUUGACCACGGUCCGUAGAAGUGGCCGUGAAGGUCACUUGGUGGCAAGGCAAGCAAGGCAACUUGGCCAAGAAACUGCCUCAAGACCACUGACCACUUCACGUCCAGUGGUCAUGACCACGGUCUGUAGAAGUGCUCGUGAAGAUGAAUUGUCCAUGUGGAGGUUUAGCAAGGUCAAGGGAGCUACUGCCUAGAGGACCAUGGGCGGUGGACCCCUUUCACGAUCCGUAGAAGUGGACUUGGUCCCUGACGGGGCUACCCAAAUUAAGGGUUUUUAAGUAAUUUGCUUUAAUGUUUUAUUGAGUGGGGUUGAUUUUAAAUGGUUUAUAUCAUAAAUAUAAAUAGUUUCAAGUCCUAAAACACUUCAUUUACUCCUUUAUUCAAAACACCCAAAUCAAAACCCCAAAGUUCUUCCUCUCUCAAUAUUUCUCUAUUUAACUCAAGGAAGAAGAAGAAGUAAAAGCUAGGGUUUGGAUUCAAGGAUUUCUUCAUCAAAUUUCUUGGGGGAAUAUUAGUAAAGGUAUGGUGAUCCUUAAUCAAGGGUUAUUUUUCACCCUAGAGUCAAUUUCAAAGAAGUUUUCAAAUGUUUUAAAAGUUCAUGAAAAACCAAGGGUUUUACUCAAUCUCGUGGGUUCUUUCCCCAAACGAUUUCAAAUGGUUUAUAAUGUCAUAUAUUGAUUGUAUUGAUGUUUAAUUGGUUAUUUAUUAUUAAAAUAUUCCAUGAACCCAUGAUUUCUCUCAAUUCCUAAUUUGUGCCUUUAUGAAGUGGGUUUGUUGAUUAUGAAGGCUGAUGAUUGAAAUAUGUCUAAAUUGCUUUGAGAUAUUGAAUUGUAUAAUUAUCUAUACCUUAAUUAUGGUAAAAUUUUGGUGUGUUGAUUAUUUGAGAUUUAUGGCCUUGAAGGCAAGGUUUGACUAAAUUACAUGUUGAAGUAGAAUUGUCCUAGAGAUGUUGAUCCACUUGAAAGGUGGAGGUGUUUACUUACUAAGUAUAAGAAUGUGAAUUCAAUGAGGUUGAACUGAUCAUUCUUGAGGGUAAUUGUGUUGUUAUUGAAAGGCUAAUUCUCAAUUUGACACUCAUGUAUGAUGAUGAUGUAAUGUGAAGUGUUGUCUUCUAUAUAUGGUAAAUCUUGGAUUGGUAGGCCUAGGCAUCCUUUCUUGAGUAAUGAAUGUGUCUUGACUUGAUGAAUAUGAAUCGAUAGGCUAUGGCAUUCCUUUCAUAUAUGAGUGACGAAUGUGUCUUGACUUGAUGGCUAUGAAAUGAUAGGCCUUAGGCAUUCUUUUCAUAAAUGAUCUAAUGUAAUGAAGACCCAAUUUUAGGUUAGAGUUCCAAGGAAUAUCUUCCUAUCCCAUAACUAUGUGCCCACAUAGGAUAUUAGCCAGCGGAUUUCAUCCAAGCUAAGGAUUCAUCCGAGCUAAUGUUAUCGCUCUACCUUAGGCAAGUGGAACACCUUUUUACGGUGUGGGGCUAUAUGACACCAAAUUCCAUGUCUAGCUUGUGUGGUCUGUGUCGGUUAAACGCUUAUUCCCAUCAUGUGAGAUGUGCAUUAUGGUUUCUUGAAAGGUUCUAUGAAGUGUAGGUGGUAGUAUGGGAUGCCAUCUAUACAUUGAACUAGUAGGCUUUGAUAGGAUCAUAGUGAGUUCUCUAAGUCUUAAUGACUAUUGUAUGAAAGUCCUCUAAAUGAAGCAAUUGAAGAAUGUUGACUCUUAAAUCCUAAAUGUGAUAUGCAUGCCAUACUUGGGUUAUAUUAUGAGUUAUUUUCCCUUGUCAUGCCUUAUGAAAUGUUAUGUCUCUUUUAUAUGGAUAUGGUGUAAAGGUGAAAAUGAAUGGAUGGUAAGUUCACAUUUGGUGAUCUUAGUGUGGUGCCUUGGUGUGGAUAGUGGUAUGGGACGCUAUCCAUACAUAGCACAAGGUAUAGCAUGAGGGUUACUUGACAUGAGGUCUAAGGUAAUGGUAAUGGUUUACAUGAUGAUGUUGUCUAAAGGUGGUAUUAUGACUUGCAUGAUGAUUAUACUUGUAUUGUAUGUCUCUUAUGCUAUUGUACAUGAUAUUUCCAAAAAGUGGCAUAAUGCAUGGUUUCCAACCAAAAUGUCCCUUUUAAAGCAUGUUUUUGCAUGGUCAUCAUACUUAGUACAUUUUUGUGUGCUAACCCAUAUUUUCCUAUUUUUACUACAAGUGUAGGUUCCGGCAAGUGAUUGGUUCUAGCUAGGAUUGAAGUGCUUGGAUAGAGUUUUACUCCAAGACUUGGUAUGUCCUCAUAGGCUGAGGACAAGGACUUUUAUUAUUUUCUAGUUCUUUCUUAUUUUAAGACUAUUGUUAAGACUUCGAUUGUAAAGGGUCAUGACCCUAUCUUGUUAAAGUUUUGUCUAAAAUGGCCAUGUGAGACUUAGUCUUCCGCUAUGUCUUUUGAAAGUUUUCUAUGAGUAUUGAAUGUUUUGAAUCAUAUGGUUUUAAAUAUAAAGUUUUAAUUCCGCACUAUUUUCAUUAUAGAAUGCAAUGAAUGACUAUGAGGCUUGUAUAAGACCCUUCGGGGUCGAAUAUGCCAUUUUACGACUAGGGGGUGCUCUCGGGUCAUGACAUACUUAGUUGAGGCAUUCUAUAUCCUGGCAAGUUAUAGGACAGUUCUGGCAGCGUGUGCGAGACGUUGUACCAUCACAUAGGUCAUAGUGAUGGUUGUCAGUUAGAGAAACUCCCACAAAAGUAUAUUACUUUAUUAUAUAUUUAUAUAUAUACACUCACACACAUAUUGAGUUUUUAUUGUAUUUUUCAAUACAUGGAAUUGCUACCUACUGUUUAAAUGCUUUAUAUAAACUGCAUAUUUACUGUUGUUUAUUUAUGCAUUGAGUUGAGUAUCGAUGAGUUGAGUUAAGCUGAGGUAAGUGUUUAUUUUAGAAUUCAAUUCAAGUUUAUGUUAAGUUUAGUUUUCCCCUUGCAUAAUCGUACAUUCAAUGUACUGAUAUCAUUUGGCCUGCAUCGUUUUAUAAUGCAAAUACAAGUAAUCAGGAUCAGCAUCCAGCGCCUCGUUGAUCCAGUCGAGUACUAAGAGUCAAUUGGUGAGCCUUUUUGUUUUCCGUAGGAUCCCUUUUUACAUUGUAUUUAGCAUUUUCAGUUGUUAGGAUGACAGGGGGUCUUGUCCCGACAUCCCUCAUAGUUUAGAGGCUUCAUAGACAGUUAGUUAUUUGUUCUUUUGUCUUUCCAUUUUCAGUUGUUUAUGUUAAGACUUGAGUUACCACUUUGGAUAAGUUGAAUGUUUGUUUCUAAGGCAUUCUAAGUUUAGUUUGAGAUAGUUGAGUUUAAAUUGCAUUUGAAUUCUCCUACUAAUGCUUAAAGUCUUCCAUUGAAAGUCUAGCUAGACCGAGGGUUUGCUUGGGGCCAUAUAUGAUUCUCGAGUGUUGGCCACGUCCAGGGUGUAGGCUUAGGGUAUGACAAACUCGAUAAACACUAUCAUAUUAAUCUUAUCUCUGGAGAUUUUAAAAAAUGAAUCAUGUAAUUAGUGUGACCUUUUACUUCAACUGUAAUAUCUCAAAAAUGCCUAACUCGGAUAAAGUUGAAAAGUGCGGAAAAAGUUGUUGAAUUAUGUAAUUUUAGAUUUAUGAAAGGACUUAUAGACCGUAUAAAGUUGCAUGGUCCGUGGAUGUCUCUCGUGAAGUGAACUUCAGAAAUUGGAUUUUCAGAAUCAAGGUUGUGGUAGGUUUUACGGUCCGUAAAAAAAUUUACGGACCAUAGACCCAUCCGUAGAUCAUUGUCAUAAAGUUGGGAAAAAUGGAUUGAUAGGAUGGAUGCUUUGUACCACUCGUGAAAGGUUCUACAAACUGUGGAUGGGUCUAUAGACCAAGGUUUUGAAACUUCAAAAGUACAAAGGAUUUCCUAACGAAUGGAUAGGACAAACCGUAAAAGCAUUCACGAAAAAUGGAAUGGUUCGUAUAAGGAAAACUCUAGAAAUCAGGUUAUCAAUUUUUUCUUAAAAAAGAAAUCGAGCCCACUGAAUACACAGCGUCCCCUUAAGGAAAUUAUUCCCCUCAAAUACCCGAGGUUAAUGGAAUAUAACCUCCCAGGAUAGAACGAUCUUACACACCGGUGUAUCGGUACCUAAGACCACGGUGUCAGUGAACCACUCAACGAUAGUGAAGUACACUUAGAAAACUAGAUUUAGUAGUAGUAGAAGAAGUCCAGAUUUUAUUCUAUUUUUAAAAUGAGAGGAAAUCUCUUAAUUUAUAGAAAACAAAGGGUAGUGUGAAAAGGUUCUUAUUGUGCCUUACCGGAAAGGUCGCAACCUUUGGAAAGUCACAAUCUUUCGGAAAGGUCACAACCUUUCAUAAAAGUCACAACUUUUCAUAAAAGUCACAACUAAUCAUAAAAGUCACAAUUUUUCAUAAAAGUAAUAACUCUUCAUAAAAGUCGCAACUCUUCAUUGUCUAUUCACACCUUUUAAAACCCAACAGUAGGUCCAUCCCGUUAGCUUGCUAUCGGAAUUCAAGUGUCUUUGUGUUGCAGUUCUGGUUUUGCUAGGCACACCCCACCAAUUAUAGUCCUAAAUUUAGAUAAUUUCAUUUGAUAUGUAAUACGGUUCUUUUGUAAAAAUUCUAUGAAUCUACAAAAUGUUUUUGUUGUCAUGAUGUUGAACCUUGAUCGAUAUAAGAAGUGUAGUAGUAAAGUCUCAUAUAUAAACUAUUUGAUAACAAUAAUUGAAAAUGUAAAGAGAAAUUUUGUGUAAGAAAUUGCAUAUAAAAGAGGUCGCAAAACGCAUAGAAAAACAUACCUUUCUAGGCCUUUUUCGCUAAGAUCAAGUGUAGUAUCAUUCUUAUCAGUUUAAUAUACAAUAUAUGGGUCAUUGAUCCACACGAUAUCAACUAAUUUUUUGGAAGUGGAGGUCCACCACGAUAGCUUGCUAUCGGGACCUUCAAAUGUUGCCUUGACAUUGCACUACUGGCUUGCUGGGCACACCCCCACCAAUGUAAUUAUAGAUUAUUUUUUUCAAAUAAUUGUUAUUUAAUAAUUAUUCUAUAUUUAGGACUUAAAAAUUCUAUGAGGAUUCAAAAUAUGGCAAGGUAAGGUAGAUUUUAACUUGGAGUCUUUAAAUAUUUUAUGCACUUUUAAUUUCAAGAAGGAAUAACUUGGAUCCUACAAAUGCACGUUAGGUUCCAAGAUUACUUAUUUUAAUAGUAAAAUAAAAUAAAAUUACAUUUACCUAAACACUAGUUCCUCACCUCCCCUUCGCAUGUAUUUUAUUUUAGGAGUUUUUUUACUAAUUCUUCUUUCCAUAUAUUUUAGAAGUCUACAAUAAUUUUACUAAUACCUCUUACCAUUUAUUUUAGGAAUGUGGUACCCGAUCCAAUGUUAAUUCCGGAACGUGGCAACCGAUCCAAGUUAGUGUGUCGGAAGCAACACUUGAUCCAUUCAACAACCACAAACACAAUCACGUAUAUUCUCACAUUUAUACAUCAAAGUCAUGAUUCAUGGUAUACCUCAUUCAAUUAUCUUCAUAUUCGAUUUAUGUGAUCCACCAUGCAACAUUUGCAUACAUACAAGUAUCAUAGAGAAGCAAGAACGAACAUACAUCACACAAUUAUAGAAUCACAACCAUCCCCUACGAACUAUUCACCAACGAAUAUCAUGUAAACAUUAAUUCAACCAUACAUAGCCCUAGUUCAUCAUCUAAGGCUUCUUUCUAGUUAUUUAAUCAUAAUUCAUUUGGUGCACGAAGGCCUACGCAUAAAUCCUAUCAUUGAUUUACAUAUGCUACGUGGUGAUCACAGAUUUAUAACUAUUCAAUUCAUAAAAACCUAGCCUACCUGGGCGCCAAGCAGCCCCAUGGAGUUUUUGACUUCGAUUCUAAUUUUCAGGUUUCGCGGCAGUGAUAUUGACUGGAAAUCCGCCCUUUGCCGCGCUUCAUCUACAUCUCCAUCUUUCCCAAGCUUGGAGCAGCUUUUAAAGGUUUCUAUGGUGUUUUACGACUAAUUUAGGUAUUUUAGGAAGAAGGAGAAAAUAGGAUUUCUCAUUAUUUACAUUUUGUCUCGCCUAUUCCGCUCUGGCGCCAACUUAGCCCGCCCUGUCGCUGCAGCCAUAGCGGCAUCUGGCCCGUCCUGGCGGGACAGUGGCCCUGAAUUUCUUGAAUUUUUGUUUUUCCUAAUUAAUGGCGGUUUGGGUCGUUACACGUUGUCUACUAUAUACCGUGUUUUUACUCAUACUACACUUCUGCCCCCUACAAAUCUCAGUUUGUGUUAUAACUGUUGAUUGGAGUCGUGCGGAGUAGCUUAGAGUUUUUGGAAACUUGGGUGAGAUCCUAGCGUCAAGAGUUGUGAGUUUCCAUCUAUUUUUGGCUAGGCUUAAUCUUUAUGUUGUAUUCAAAGACAUCCUCUGCUUAUCUUGUAUUGGUAGUAGUCUUGUACUCUUAUGUUGGAUUAAAUUCUCAACUAGUGACUAAUACUAGGUCUUUGGAUUGUUUCUAUAUUGUUUUCGGUUGAUUAUCUUUUCUUCUCUUGAUAUAAGCUUUACGCUUUUAAUUGUUGGCUUCCGCUUGGUAGCUCGUUGCUUACGAGUUCGGGCUAAGGGUUUGGCUUACCUACUAGUGGGAUAUAGUAGAUGCCAUCAUGACCUGAAAAAUUGGGUCGUAAAAAUUAUAAUUUGAGGGAUAUGUCAUACGCCGAGGUGAAUUCUAUUAUCAAGUGUCGUCUUGCAUGUCGAAAUGGAUGCAUGGACAAAUAUGUCCCCCAUGGAUCCCGGACUGAGAGACAACAUGUGUGUAUCAUUAGGUAAGAUAUGCAUCACUACACGUUUAAUUACAUUUCAUUACACUACAUAUCUAUAUCAUUUGUGAACUUGUGAGUGACUUUCUGUGGAACUAGUGAUUGAUGACUUGAUAUGAUGUACUAUUGAUCUGUAAUUGUUGGAGAGUUGUUAUUGAGCUAUGAGAUAUUUAAAUUGUGCACUGUUAUGUUGGGCUGAUUUUUACAUGUUGUAGUUGUGGAAUUUCGGUUCGAAUGGCAGAAGUAAAUGUAUUCUAUACUCUUAGCUUUGUGUUUAAGAGUUUGCUUAUUGAGUACCGUGUGGUUUGAUAAUCACCCCUUGCUUCUACAUUUUUGUAGCUUACUAGCCCAUUUUUAGAGAUUUGUGAGGCGGUUGUUUAUCAUCUCAGCGGACUUUCUUACUCAUAUUUAUGAUCUUGUUCUAUUUUUGAGACAAACAUCAUUUGGGAGUUAUGUUUUCUUUCAACUCUAGUGUAAUACAUUAGAGGCUUGUGCACGUGACAACUAGGUUUUGGAGAUUUAGUUAAGUUGACCUGUAAUCCGCAUAUAAAUUGUUAUUCAAUUAUUUUUGUUAUACUUUAUUUUUGCAUUUUAUCAUAAUGAUUGGGUAUUAGACUGACUUGUCUUGGUGGGAUAAGACGAGUGUCAUCACGUCUAUUUUUGAGUUGUGACAAAAAAUAUUGUGUUUGUAAUAUGAUAUAAAAUUAUUGGUGCCAAAUUAUUUUAGAAUCUCAACAAUAUUCAUAAUUCACAGUCAUUUCGUCGAGUGCAUUACCAAAUAUGACAUGACCUAAACAGUUCCAAAAUGUCAUAUUCAUAAUUCAGGGACAUUUCAUCAUCAUUCCUCUUAAAUUACCUACCUACACAUGGAAAGAAGAGACCAAAAUUAGUAAGAAUAUUUGGUGUGUGCCAAAUUAUUUUAGAAUUUUUUCGUUCCAAAGUAAAAUAAUCUCCACUAAUUAAUUAGGGAGGAAAGCUGAAUAAAAAAAUCAUAUAGUAAAGAAAAAAAAUUAUAGGGUGUGUUUGGUAUGAAGGAAGAUGUUUUCUUGGAAAACAAGUAGAUUUUUGACUUAUUUUCUCAUGUUUGGUUGGUGAGUAGAAAAUAUUUUCCGGAAAAGAUUUUUUAGUGUUUGAUUUAUGAAUAAAAAAUGUUUUUGAGAAAAUAUCUUUUAUUUUUACUAGAGAGUACAAAAUAAUUUUUGAAAUUGAAAAUAUUUCUUAAAAACAAACUUAAUUUUUUUUUGGGUGGGGAGGUCGGGGAGGUGAAAAAAUAAAAUUUUGAACUUGAAAUUAUUUUUUAAAAACAAACUUAAAUUUUUUUGGAGGUGGGGGUGUUCGAUGGUAGGGGUGGAAAAAUAAAAAUUUGAAGUAGAAAAUAUUUUUUAAAAACAAAUUUCAAAAAAGUUUUUGGAGAAGGUUGGGGACUGGUAGGGGGGCUGAUUGGGGGGGGNNNNNNNNNNNNNNNNNNNNNNNNNNNNNNNNNNNNNNNNNNNNNNNNNNNNNNNNNNGUUGAGGGUAGGGACAAAAUAAAUUGAUUUUUUCAACAACAAAAUAUUGUAAUUUGAAGUUGGAAGAGAGUUUUGGAAAAUGAUUUCCUUAAUUUUUGAAGGAAAGUCAUUUUUCUUAAAUUUGAGGAAACUGAGUUGAUUUGGAAAACAUUUUUCAAAACAUUUAACCAAACCAAACAUGAGAAAAUUGAAAAACAUUUUCCAAAACAUAUUUUUCUUCAUACCAAACACACCCAUAGUGUGUGCUAACUUUCUCAAUUUUCUUAACUUUGUAAAUUAUAUUUUAAGAAUUGAAUGUUCAUUUACCAAACAUAGAUAUAUAAAGACCUACCUCAAGUUUCACAUUUGGGGAACAUAAUGGUGCUGCAAUGAUAUUCUUUUGGUAGGAACAUCUCCAUAACUUCCUUGCUACAUAGUGAAAUAAGUCACCAAAAAUUGUAAGCAUAUUUACUUACAAAUAUUUCACUAGGUAAUCAAAGUUAUGAUAUAAUUUUGAGUUUUAUUAUGAAAACUCUUAUACAAAAGAAAAUUUAAACAUUCAUAUAACAAAGAUCAAUUAUUUGUGUUCUAAGCAAAUUUAAGAAACUGUUCAAUUCAAAAGUUUCCAGUCAAAUUAUUUGUGAACUCGUUUACCUAAAAAUAUACAAACAUCUUCACUAAUUAACUAAGUGGGUAAAGAGAAUCGAAAGUGUUGAGAAAAAUGAUAAUUUGUACAAACUUCUUAAUUUGCUUAACUUCGUGAAAAACAUUUUUAGAAUACAAUUCUCUAUGAUUAAACAUAAAUAUAUGAAAAACAACCUCAAGUUUAUGUUGGAUUUUAAAGGUGUGAACAGGAAAUGAAGGGUUGUAACUCUCCUGAAGGGUUGUGACUAUGCCGAAAGGUUGUGACCUUUAUGAAAGGUUGUGUCCUUUCUAAAGGGUUGUGACCGUUUGAAAGGUUUGCCUUUUCCAAAGUGUUGUGACCUUUCUGAAAGGUUGUCUUCUUUCCAAAGAGUUGUGACCUUUACCCUUUGUUGGCUAUAAAUAGAGACAUUUUCUCUCUUUUUUCUGCAUCGAAUUCUUCCCUUCUUUUGCAUACAUUUCUUACAAAAAAAAAUUGAUCGAUCGUGUCUCUGUGUGAUUCGUUGCUGUCUUUUUGAGUUCAUUGAAAUUAUCAAAGUUUGAGGUACCGCUACUUCUUUAAUGGUUAAUCCGUUUUAUCUUGGGAGGAGUCAAUCUGCAACCUCGGGUACUUGAGGGGAUUAAAUUUCUUAAGGACACGCAGUGGGUCUAUGGACUUGGAUAGUUCUUUGUUUUUUUGUUCAUCUUUUAUUAUUUUUGGUUUGUUAAUCUGAAUACAGGAGGUAACAAGAUUAAGAAAUUUAAAUUGUUGAUAUUUUCUAUGGUAAGGAAAUUACUUCUCUUUUCUUUGUUCUUUUUAUGGAAAAAACAUAAAAAGAGAAUUAUUUUAUCAUAUGAUAAAAGAGAUUUGGGAUGAAUGAGUACUACUUUAAUAUGUCUGAGUAUAUUUUCUGUAGCAAGUUUUCCUUGGAUAGGUAAGAUUAUUUUUAUUUUCUUCUCAAGUGCAUUCAAGCAUUGCACCCCUUCAGUUUUGUUUUCAAUGAAAAAGUUAUUUUGUGCAUAAGGGUUAAGAUAUGCACUUUAAUUAUUUUUCAUAUAUUCUUGAUUUUAUAUAACUAUGAGAAGUAGUAAAUGAACAAAUGUUGUCUCUUAACAAUAUUUGAACAUGACUUUAGUUUCUCGUUGAAAUUCAAUGCCUUCCAUGAAAAAUUGGAAUAUGAUGGAAACUGGGAAAGAAAGGAAAACAAAUUAGCAAGAAAAGUGACUUGCAUGGAAUCAUUGCUGACAGAUAGAAUAUGAUUCAAUGGGAGUAAAAAUCAGGUUCUAUAUUUAUUUCCCUUGAUUAAAAUUUUUUUCUAUCCUUUAUAAGUUAUGAGAUUUAUUUCAUAAAUGUUAGGAUAGAUGGUCAUUAUGUGAUGAUCUCAGAAUAUAUCUUUAUUAUUAUUAAUAUGUGUUCUGUUAAGAGGUGGAAUUUUUUUUUUGUAAUUUUCUACUCCAGGUUAAAUUUGAUUGUGUCUGACUUUUGGAGACUAAAUAUUCUGAUUUUUUACUCCUUUGGUUUGAAGAAAAUAAGCACUUCACGAACAAAUCAAAUUGUGCAUUGGUUUGAAGAAUAUAGCAACUUCACCAAUUUAUUAAAUACUCUCUUUGAAUGAGUAUUCUGACUUGAAGAGUACAAAAUCUUCGUCGGGAAUAUUAAGGCUAAAUGAUUUGAAAAAGAUAAAAUCUCCAUCGUUAGCUAGGAAUAGAUUGAAUUUUUAUGGUUUGUAUUCUAAAUACUAAGUGGUCUGUCUAAUUGUGACAGAAAGAGAAAAAAACAAUAAUGACAUAAAAUUAGUGAUUUUUGUGUCUGCAAUGGGUGUUUCUAUGGAUAAAUCUCCAAAAGAAGGCUUCGUGAAAGCAUGGGAAAAAUAUGUGGAAAAUAAUUUCAAAUACUUGAAAAAUAUUUUUGAGAAUAUUUUUAAAAUGUGGAGGGUUGUUUACUUGUGAUUAAGACAAAAUUAGACUUACUAUCUAAUUUAAAUUUGAAAGUACAAGAUAUGAAAUUUAAUGACAUUCUUAUAUUAUGGUCGAUCCACAAAAUUGUUGGAGUAAAUUCGAUAUUGUGGUCGUUGAGUCUCUCUUUACUAGUAUAUGAUAUGACUAGUAUAAAACCAAAAUAUUGUAUUACUCGUUCAAAAGAAUUGUAUUCUUUGAUGAAAAAGUGUCACUUAAAAUAUUAUUAUUUUUCAUGAAAAGAUGUCUAUUAAAAUAAAUUUAUUUGUUUAGACAUGAACAUUGGUGAAAAGUGAUAUGUUUUGUUUGUGUUGUAAAAUAAAUAUUUGGGUCAUAUUGCCCUUAUUGGACCAGUGAGACUAUGGUCAUGGAUAAUUCUAUAACAAAUAGAAUGUUAUGGAAAGGUCCUUCUGAAAAGGACAUCUGGCAAAGUGCUGAUUCUGAAACAAUGUCUGUGUUUGACAAAGUUAUAAAAAGUAAAGAACAAAAUAUUUGUAGGAUAAGGUUACCUCACGGAAGGUUUUUUCAAACUUAAUAUUUCUGUUUGUUCUGACUUGCUUGAAUCAAAUUGUUUGUGACAUGAACUCUUGGGACAUGUCAAUUACAAAAUCUUGCAAAAACUUAUCAACUUAAAAGUUUUUCCUAACUUCUAAUGCAAUAAAUCAAAAUGUCAAGUAUGUGUUGUUGAAAGGAAUUUUAAUCCCUUAUAAUUGAUUUAUACUGACAUUUAUGAUAUGAAGUCAACACCAUCUUGUGGUGGGAAAAAGUGUUUCAUAAAUUUUUAUUGACAAUUGCACUAGAUUUUGUUGUGUCUAUUUGCUGAAUGGUAAGGAUGAAGCGAUAGAAACAUCUAGGAAAUAUAAAACUAAAGUUGAAAAUCAUUGUCAUGAUUAGAAGUGAUAGAUGUGGAGAAUAUGAAUCUUCUUUUGCAGAAAUAUAUUUGGACAAUAGAACCAUCCAUCAAAUUACUUUCACGACCCAACCCACCGGGCCGUUCGGGCACCUACAUACUAUCACCCAAGUAGGAGAACCCUCUUAUCCCAACCGUUACAACAUGCGGAAAUUAAAUAAAAUGGAAGAUAAAAGAAAUAGUAGGAUUUUAUAAAUAAGAACUCUUAAAAUGGAAGAUAAAAGAAAUAGUAGGAUUUUAUAAAUAAGAACUCUUAAAAUGGAAGAUAAAAGAAAUAGUAGGAUUUUAUAAAUAAGAACUCUUAAAAUGGAAGAUAAAAGAAAUAGUAGGAUUUUAUAAAGAAAUAGAUGGACUCCACUGACUGAGGCUCCCCCGGACGCACGUUCCACUUGGGUGAGGGAGUUCUACGCCAUCCAGCCUACUGUGCGAUGUGACGACCCUCACCCCGUCAUCCGUAUCCGGGGAGUUGAUAUCCCCCUGCAUGCACCGCCAUUAAUGAGGCUCUAGAGGUGCCGGAGAUCUCGAACGCAGAGUACGAGGCCAAGCUGAGGGAGAUGGAUCUGGAAUGGCUGAGAGACACCCUGGUGGAGCCUGCCCAUCGGGACCAAGUCUAUUGGGCCACUGCGGAUCGGAGGGCAUUCCUAGCACAUAUUGGUCGUCUAAUGCUAAGAGGUGGCUACACUAGGUGACUAGGAGGAUUCGCCCGUCGGGAAACCGCACCGACGUGACCUUUCCUUGGGCCCUGGUGGUGGCGUGUGCUAUACAGGUUAUCGAGUUGAAUGUGGGGGCGUAGGUCAUUUCGGAGUGGAAGAUGUUCUACCGGGGUAAUAAGAAGGCUUUUAUUCAUAUUUUUUUUUAAACUCACUUUCUACUCUCUUUUUUCCAGCACCUGCAUAUUAUCUAUCUUCAAAAAUUUAAUUAUUUUUGAAUUAAUAACUUACUGUCUAUCGAAUUCAAUUUAUUUUUUAGUUAAAUUUUGAAUGAUAAAAAGAAAGGUUAAAAAUGUCUCAUAUAAGUUUAAAAAAAUUUAAAAAUGAAGAAAAUAUGUCACGAUCUGAAAACUCGAGUAAUAAUGGAACCUACAAACACCCACCGGCGGGUAAGCCGAUCCAUAGGCAGAAAUGGCAAGUAAUGGGCAUAAUGGAAGGUGUCACGACCCGAUUCCUCUAGUUACGAUGACACUACACCUGCUAUAAUCCAUCAGUAGGUCAGCGACCCCAUAGCCUAGAACGACAAAUAAUUUGUAUAAGGGUAGAACUAACAUAAAUAACACUCAAAACAACAAAACGAGACAGAAGUGGAAGCAACCAAAAACUACAUACAAACGAUUACUCCCAGAACCUCUAAGUCACAAGUACAAAGAUGUCUAACAUGAACAAACAAGUCCCAAAAGUGGACCACAAGCAAGCCGUCUCAAAAGUAAGGAAACUACCUAAAUAUGUACACAAGGAGAGAGGUUGAUCCAAGACGGCAAGUGCUCACCCACGUCUCCGAUCCCAAAAGUUGCUGAAGAUGGCACUAACAAUCAUCGUCAGUAGCUGGUACUAGGAGCUGCAUCACGAAACAAAUGCAGAGUGUAGUAUGAGUACCAAAACAAAGGUACUCAGUAAGCAUUAUAGGUCGACUGAGCAAGAAAGGUAAAGACAAUAUGAAAAGAUAAAAUCUAGACACAAACUGAGGUCAAAGCGGAUAUGAAAGGAAGCAUACGAGCAUAUCGAAAGUAAAUCAAAGUACAACCAAACUAAACCUAACUAGACCCCAUAAGCCUCGAACCCCCAUAAGCCCGACAGGUACACACAAUAGCUAAGUCUAUUGAGAAAAGAGUACCAUGAACCAAAAUUCUGGCUCCCAGCCCAAGUAACCUCAAGUACUUAACAAUCCAAUCAACUCCCAACCAAGCUAGCAAGAGUGACAUUCAUUCUAGGCCGCUCAACCAGUCAGUCCACUCCCAGGGACAUAAGUCGCUCAGGUAGCAAGAGUGACAUGGGGGUGUGUCAACUCCGAAUAGAAUCUCAUUUAUCAAGGCCGCAUAGCAAUCCAGUCCACUCACAUGGGCGUAAGCUAGAGUAAGAGUGACCCGGGGCGUGUCAACUCCAAAGUGUAUCUCAAAUACCAAUACCAUGCCACCAUGGAACGAUGUCCACUCACAAAAAUUUACCAUAAGGCUCCAAGCCUAGAAAAUCCAAUCCUUUGACGCUGCAAUAGCACAAAACCUCUGGUGAUGCACCAUAGCGGCAGAAAUAGAGAGAGAAGAUAGAAGAUCCGUAAAUCUUUGAAAACGCCUAGACUAAGGCUAUACUAUUAGACUCAAGUCUUCUACUCGAGUCUACAAGAAUCUAGUCUGUCCAAAUUGACGUCGUAGAAGAAGCAACGCAAUUAGGCUACAAGUACCGCAAGUCUAAGACAAAACUAGUCUAAUCAUAGUCUAAGGCCGAACAUGCUCAAAUAUAUAACAAGUAACAACAACAAAUCAAGCCACAACAACAUGGAACAUAUACAAUCCCUAACUAGCAUGGUACUACACACCUGAAAAUACGGCCAAUCAAGCCGAAGCAUUGUAUCUAAUGUAGGGGGGAAAAAAGAACAACUAGGUACUCGCCUUCAAUUCAUUCAAAUCAACAUGGAUUUACGUAUUCAAGCUCAAUCUAAUAGAAAGGAAGUCAUAGCCUACUAGUAGCUUGACCGCGCGAACGCCAAUCUAAUUAGCUCUGAACAUUAUGAGAUUUGUGUAAAACUCUCUAAAUAUAAACUAGGUCCUAGGCCUAUAGUAACUGGAUGACUUUGGGGUUUUGCUUUUUAGUUAGCCUUUAAUUAAUUAGGUUUAAAAUUAAAAGAUACUACAAUAGAUACUCCAUCAAACUAUACAACAAAUCUAUGCAAAGACUCCUAUUAAAAGUUUCAGAGCAAAUCAUACGACAACAAGGUUUUAAAUUCUUGACUUCUUGGUGAAGAAUUGAAGUGAUUCUUCAAGAACACACUUGUGAAAGAAAUGUUUUAAUAAUGAUGUAUUUUGAAAUGAUAUAAAAGUAAAAAAAAUGAAAAUAAACCGAAAAGUACCGAUAUCGAAGAAAAAUCGAUAUGAUUGCAGUGAUUUUUAAAAAUCUAAUUUUGAUUAAUAUAUAAUAAAAAUACCCAAAAGAAAAAAUUGGGAUGGUAUUACUUUUUUAAAUAAUUGCACCCCCUAGUCAAGUAUAUCAUCCGUUGUAUUAGCAAACUUUUAUAUUACUAAAGUCACUAAAUUUUAUCCGUUGAAUUUGUAAGGGAAAAAGGCAUAAGUGUAGGAUCAAAAUAAUCAAAUAUCAUGCGGAUGUAAACAAAGUAAUUAACGUCAGAAGACAAGUAAGAAGAUAAAUGAGAAAUUUAACAAAAAAAAUAGAAAUAUUUAACGUAGUUCGGUCAGUCCACCUAAUCCAUAAAAGGAGAUAAGCAAUCCACCAUAUACAGGAGGGUACAAAAUAUCGAGAGAAAUAACCUCACAAAAUUUACUAAGAAUAAGUUCACACAAGUGGUAACAUAACACUUGUGUCUCACAAAUUCUCCUCAUAAAUAGAACUCUCCAUGCCCUUAGAUAUAGAUUUCCAUUUAGUUUACAUCUGCACACAAGUGUAACACUCUGAUAAAAAAAUUCAAACAAAAAUCUUCGUUACCCUCAAAUAAAUUACGGUUAAAAUUGAACUUAUCAAGUUGAAGGAAAAUCCUAUUAAGGCUAAAGUUGAACCUGUCGAUGAAGGAAAAUCUAACUAAUAAUAAUGAACUAGGUAUACACAAUAAUAAAUAUUCUUGAACUAUGACUAAAAUCCCAAAAACACGUCUCAUAGUCUCACUAGGCAUACACCGUCAAAAGUUGAUUCUCAAAAAUGUAGUGUUUGAGAAACACUUGAAUUUCUUUUCAUACAAAAUGAUUAAACCCAUCGCAAAAACAUGUAAAAUUGACACACGAUUUUUUACUUAGAUACCUAGGUUUAGAAUUGUUCGAUUGCACACUCAAUAUUUCUAAAAAGCUGCAUAUUAAACACAAAGUACUGUGGAAAAAUAAUGUUGCUCACUUUCUCAGACAAAUUAAAUGGAUCUCAAAUAAUAAUUUUCUUUUUUUCUGCCAAAGAAAUUAUCUCUCUUUCACCGACAUAUAGCAGCAAUAUACGUUUAAAAGAAAAAUUCUCAGUACCGUCUUCUCCGACAGAUUAGUUGUUGCUCUUCUAUUUCUUUUUCUUUUUGGUUGUCCUUUUUUUAAAAAAAAAUAAUUAAAAAUUGGUUUGACUGUUCAAUUGGAACGCUUAAAUAAAAAAUCAUGUCAACUUCAGAUGUCUCCGAUGAAUUCAGCCUUACAAGAACAACGUGAUAACGGUGAGUCGCUACGCUGAGACGUCUUCAAUCUGUCAGUCUAUCAAUCAUUGUCUGCAGUUUCCUUCAUCUAGCAACUAGGUGCUUUAUUGGUUAGGAAUUGUAACGACCCUAAAAACAAACUAGUAAAACUAGAGCCUCACAUGUGAGUUUGGAGUUGAGAACCUGAUGAAAUGAUGAGAAAUGACCGUGACGUCCGGAAACUAGUCGUUUGAACUAGUGAGUUGUAAGGGUCUUGUCGUUGAAGUUUGGAGUGUUGUUUAAGGGCAUAAGGGGUUGAUUAGCUAGUGGAUUAAUCACCUUUAUAAGCUAGCAAGACCUUAAGCUAGGUCAUGAAAUCAUUUAGAACCGAGACCCUCAAAACAGUCCCCUAAAAACAGUUUUUAGUUUUAAGUUAGGAGUGAGGGUCAACUUUAAAUGGUCAUAUCUUUUAUCUCAAAACGAAUUAGGUGGGCCAUUACCUAUCCUAUGAAAGGUCUUUGAGUUCUCUUUCCAACGCCACCGAGUUUGCCCAAUUCCGACCUUGGAGGAAAAAGUUAUGCCCGAAAUAUGAAGCACUGUCAGGCUGCAACAAAGGGCGAACUAAGACGGGAAGGGGCACAAUUUUUAAGUCAAGACUUUAUGGGUCCUUAGUCCUUUUCCAAAAUUGACCCUAUGCUAUUCUUUUCCUUUCCUAGCAACUAUAAGACAUUUUUAUGUCCCUAUUCCUUUCAUUUAAGUCACUCCUCUUAUAAUUAAAAAAAAAGAAACCCACCUCCUCUCAAAUAUAUCUUUCUCUACAAUCCUCCAUUGAAGAAGGUCAAGAACUUGGAGCUAGGACUUGGAUUGAAGGUAGUUUCUUCAUCAAAUUUCUUGGGGAAUCUUAGCAAAGGUAUAAUGACCCUUGAUCCUUGAUCAAUCUUUCUUUCAAGGAGUCCAAUCAAAAGGGUUUCAAAAGUGUUUCAAAGAACAAAAAUCUCAAAUUCUAAUCUAAGCAUGGGUUCAUUGGCAAAACGUUUCCUAAGCCAUUAUAUUGAUAAUUUAAUGUUUGAUUAAUGUUUUUAAGAUGAUUUCGUAUGGAAUUCCUUGAAAAACCCAUGUUUUCCCUAAAUUCCUAAAUUUGCUUAUGAAGUGGGUCUUUUGCUUAUGAUUCAAAGUUUAUGAAAUUGUGUUUGGAUAGAAUUGUAUUAGUGACUCUUAUGAUUUUCUACAUCUAUCUAUGAUGAAUUGAUGAUGUAUGGAUGAAUGGAAAGUUGUGGCCUUAUGGGCAAGUUAUGGAUGAAUUCUCUUGUGGUAAGUAAAAUGGUUGGGACUUGAGUGUUGUUGAUUAUGGCUUUGAAGGAUGGUAAGUUGACCUAUUUUAUGAAAAAUGUUGAAUUAGUAGGGAAUUGAGUAAUGUUGGUUAUGGCUUUGGAAAAUGGUAAGAUGGCUUAAUCUCUUAGUAUUGAUAUAAUUGUUAUUGGUUGGUUUGAUCCACCUUUGGUGGAGGUGGUUAUUUGUUGUAUUAUUGUGAAUUGAGGCCAUGAAGGGCAUUAUAUGAAUGUUAUUAUAUUGUUGUAUUAUUAUACACAUAUGAAGCUAUAUGUAAAGUUUUAUGUGAAGCUAUAUGUGAAGGAAUGAUGUGAAUGAGUUUUAUGUGAAGCUAUAUGUGAAGGAAUGAUGUGAAUGAGUUUUAUGUGAAGCUAUAUGUGAAGGUAUGAUGUGAAUGAGUUUUAUGUGAUCUUGUGAUGAUCCUAUGUAAAGUGGAUAGCAUUUUGAGUUAAAGUAUGAUUUCUCAUGAUGUAUAUAUGAAAUGAUGUUGGAUUAUGAAGUAUCCUUAAAUGAAAAUGUGUGUCUUGAAUUGGUAGUAUGAAAUGAUGUUGGAUGAUACAUGAAAGCUAUGGAAUGUGAUCUCUUAACUUGGUAGGCUUAGGCAUCCUUCUCUUGAGAAAUGAAUGUAUCUUGACUUGAAGUCUUAUUGUAUUGAAGUGGUAGACCUUGAGUUGGUGCCUCUUCAUAAAUGAAUGAAUGUCUAGAAUCGGUGAGACCUAAGCAUGGUGCCCUUUCUAUGAAUGACUAAAGGGGGCAUUUUUAGACUAUGACUUGAACCGGUAGACCUAAAGUUGGUGCCCCUUCAUGAUGAAGUCUAGAACCCUAUGCGAAUGUAAAACCAUGGAGUCGGUAGACCUAAUAGUGGUAGCCCUUCUCAUGUGUGAAAUGAUGAACCUUGGACCGGUAGGCUUAAGGCACCCUUUAAUGAAGAAUCGGUAGGCCUAAGGCACCCUUCCAUGGGGAUUUAAUGAGCUAUCCUUAAUGAACCUUGAUCGGUAGAUCCUUGUGGUGCCUUUCUUGGUAGAUGUGCUAUGGGUCGGUAGACCUAAUGAUGGUGCCCUCUCUAGGACAUACAUGUGAAUGAAAUUACUCUAUGGGAACUAAGGCUAAGCACCGAGUGGAUAUGGUUAAGAUGGUAGCUCUCCCGAGUAUGAGGCAAGAGUACAAUGAACAUCUUUGGGUAUCCCCUAAACCAUGUGCCUACAUGGGAUGUGUCCUAGUUCUACCCUUGGCAAGUAGAACACCUUCCACGGUGUAGGGUUUUAUGACACCGGAUUCCAUGUCUAGCUUGCAUGGUCUAUGUCGGUUAAUGCCUAUUCCCAUCAUGUGGGAUGUGCACUCUAGUUAUUGGAUAGGUUCUACAACGUGUAGGUAGUAGUAUGGGAUGCUAUCUACACAUGGCACGAGUAGGCUUUGAAGAUACUAAAGUGAGUUCCCUAAGUCUAACGACUAUUAUGUGAAAGUCCCCUUAUGUGCUUGAAUGUCUCCAAAAUGGUUUCUUAAAGAAUGUUGGUCUAUUGAUGUUAUGUUGUAAAGGAAAUGUCCUUAUCUAAGGUAAUCUUGAGGAACACUUAAGUGUGCUUGAAGAGGUUGUAUGGGCGGUCACUUCUUGUCUCACUCAAGUGUGUCUUAAGGUUAUAUUAGGUAGAGGUCCUAUGGUAAUGAAAUGACAUGUGUUCUUUUAAAGUUAAGCAUGGAUUGUAUAUGGACAUAUGUUGAGUAUAUGUAUGGUUGGCUAUGGUCUUAUAUGUUAAUGUUGACUUGUAUUAUGUCUCUUAUACUUGUAAAGGAAAGGUUUUAUCAAAUUGAUAUGAAAGCAGUUAUUCUUUGAAAAUGUCCUUUUUAGCAUGUUUGUGCAUGGUCUCCAUACUUAGUACUUAAUUGUGCUAACCCCUUUCUUUCCCUUUUUGGACUAAAGUGUAGGGAUUUGGAGAUGAUGACAUGUCAUGGCUUUGAUAGGUUUCUAAGUGUUGAAGAUGAAGACUUGGUGAGUCCUCAUAGAUUCGAGGACAAUACCCAAUAUGUUCUUUUAUGUCUUUUUAGUAUUGUUUAAGUUGUGUACGGGAUUAGUCCCGAAUUUUGUACUCUAAAGUAUUAGAUGGUUUUGAGACAUCAUGUAUAAAGUCUAGAAAGUCUUCCGCUUGCUAUUUUUUUUAUGCAAUGUUUUCUUGGUAAAGAAAGUUUUAAAUUCCUUAUGGUUUUAGUGUCUAUGCGAUGAAUGAAUGCUAAGAGGCUUGUAUUAGACUCUUCGAGGUCGAGUACGCCGGUUACGACUAGCGGGUGCUCCCGGGUCGUGACAGGAAUCCACCCUACUACUCAAACAUAAGAAGAUAACAUCUUCAAAAGCUCUGGAAAACUAUUAGAACAGACAACCAACAACCAUCCUUAUUACAAGGCUAGGGAACAGCUCUUACGCAAAAUAUUAAAGAUCAUCAUAAAAAAAAACAUUACAAACACAUCUAGACCAGAAACCACUUGGCAAAUGAAAGAAACUACAUGACAAAAUCAUCCAUGCUAAUAAAACCAGGAAACUCUAAACACAUAUUACUACUUGAAAAUAUGAAUGAAUUACACAAAAGUGAGUGAAAAUUGGAGAGAACAAAACUUGACCUACAUGAAGUUCCACAAGGAAAACUGAAAGGUGGGGGAUUAUUAAGUUCGGUGAAUUUAUUUCCAUAUCUAGAGAAGGGAUGCAGCAAGUGACCAUAAACACAAGGUCACAUGAAAGUAGGGAUAUGCAUAAAUACCGAAAAACCAAAGAACAGAAUGUCCACCCCUACCUGAAAGAAAAUCCAGGACAACUUAGCAAGCAGUAGCUAGCAAAGAAAGCUUGUGCCAACUGUAAAACUCAAACCUGUAACAACCCUCGGGGGGUAAAUUUCCAACGGAGGAGAACCUCAAAAAUAUUCAUAACUCACAGUCAUCUCAUCAAGUAUAUUACCAACAUAUGCCAUGAGCAGAAUGAGUACACUAUUUUGUACUGAAGUAGCUCUUGCACAUCCACCACAUAAAUCAUUCAGAAAAGACCACUAUAAUUGCCAGAAAAUGCAUACCUGAAGUAGUUUAUUAAUGACUUAGUCCCUUGGUACUGCAAAAAUACAAGAGAACAGAAGGAUGACUAAAUUCCCUUCGACCACGGAAUCCAAAAUUUCCAAAACGAAUAUUACUAGCCCAACAACAGUAAAUUCCCUUCUAUAUAUGUUUGUAUUUCACAAAAGAUACAAUUUUUUGGCUCUCUCACAUCAAACAUCUUCUAUUUAUUUCCCUCCAUACGUUCCACAUAUUGCAAGUGGGAAAAUGAUCUUCCAAAACUGUUCCGUAUUGUUGUCAAUUCUCUGUCCUUCCCAGCUUCAGAGUAAAUAAAUAGGCCUUACCAAUGUAAUACAAAAACUCUUCAGAAACAUAGUACCAAUGACUCCUUGAAGCUUAAAAAUGUAAAGGUACCACAUAAAGCUAAUGAAUUCCACACGUCAAGAACAAUUCAGAAAUGUGAGUGCAGUUGAGCUCUUUUAGUUUUAGCACCCUAUGGCUCUGCUACCAUGAUGCUCGACCAAGCCUCACUAACAGUGAUACAUCGAUCCCCCGCAUGUAGUUCAGUACCCGCGGGCAAGACAGAACUAUCCUUGGAGAAAGCCAAACACAACGGUUUUUGUGAAUAUUCACAAAGAUAGCAAUCGUUUUUAGUAAUACAUCAUGUGACGGUCACACCCAAAAUAAGCUACUUUGAUGAAUUUGACCUGUAAAAUCUUAAUAUAUGUAGAACUCUUAGAGGUCUUUUGGUAAAGUGUAUUAGCAAAAAUAAUGCAUGCAUUAAUUAUAGUAAUUCCUUGUUUGGUGAAUAAUUUCAUGCUAUGUAUAACUAAUGAAUGUGUAUUAAGGAGUGUAUUACUAAUACCAUGGAUUUCUAGGUAUUAGUAAAGGAUUUAAUACAUGCAUUAAUAUGGUUAAAGACACAAUUAUCCCUCAAAAGUACUUUUACAUCUUUCCACCAUAAUUGUGAAGGAUACUUUUGUAAAUAAAUAUUUUUAUACAAUGCAUACUAUGUUUAGUACAAAACCAAACAAUGCACAAGAAAUAAUUUAUGCAUAACUAAUACAAGCAUUACCAAUACACUCUAUUGAGUAUUAUUUUUAUACAUUCUACCAAACGACUCCUAAUAGUGCAUCAGAAAAGAGACUAAAAGACAUCAUAAGCAACAUGCUCAAAAAAAAUGCCAAGUACCAUGUGAUGAUGUGAUUUCACCUCCCUCUAUGUCCCCCUCUAAUAUGAAAAGCAACGUAUUAAUUUGACCAUAUUUCCUGAAUUAGUAGCCUACAGAUAUUGCUUAGAGUAUGCCCCUCACAUGACAAAAUGGAUACUGCUUAGAGUAGCCCGGCAUAUGGUAUCACGUUAUUUUCAAAUCCCCAUUAAUUAUUAUUUGAAACAUUUAUCUACAUGAAUGUGUUGUGUUAAAGCAUCAAACCAGAAAAAACUUGAACUUAAAUUAGACGGAUUACCAGUGAACAACUUCAUGAUGGAAGCAACAAAAGAAAGAAACAACUUCACUAACCACUUCAGCUAAAGAAUAAUCAGAAUGUUGAGCACGUCAUUUUAUAUACCUUCCUGAGGAACCUGAGAUAAUUCAAUCGACUUUGAAAGACCAAAAUACUAUGGCAUACUUCAUCUUAAACUUAUGAGGUUCUUAAAUUACAUGUUGCAC